RNAcentral lists this ribosomal RNA (327 nucleotides) under uncultured eukaryote. RNAcentral's name for it is "partial 18S ribosomal RNA". It matches the Rfam family "Eukaryotic small subunit ribosomal RNA", at positions 1470 to 1796 of the family's 1831-position model. The record is from RNAcentral.
CCCUUAGAUGUUCUGGGCCACACACGCGCUACACUGAAGGAGGCAGCGUGUACUCCUGGAUCGAAAGAUUUGGGUAACCCGCGAAUCUCCUUCGUGCUAGGGAUUGAGGUUUGCAAUUAUCCUUCAUGAACGAGGAAUUCCCAGUAAGUGCAAGUCAUAAGCUUGCGCUGACUACGUCCCUGCCCUUUGUACACACCGCCCGUCGCUACUACCGAUUGAAUGAUUUAGUGAGGACUUCGGACUGGGACCGAUGCGGCUUUCGGGCUGCGUCGGUAUUCUGGAAAGAUGUCCAAACUGUAUCAUUUAGAGGAAGUAAAANUCGUAACA